CUCGACCUCGGAUCAGGCGUGACUACCCGCUGAAUUUAAGCAUAUAACUAAGCGGAGGAAAAGAAACUAACUAGGAUUCCCCCAGUAACUGCGAGUGAACGGGGAACAGCCCAUCGUCGAAGCCCCCGCGGACCCCGCGGUGGGCAAUGUGACGAAUCGGGGUAGCCGAGACGUCGACCGGCGGGUCGUUGCCUCAAGUCCGCGUGACCGUGGCUCUCGCCCCGCGAGGGUGAAAGGCCCGUCGUGGCAACGACGAUUCCUCGCCGGCGGACUCGGUUUUGCCUCUGCACCCGAGUCGGAUUGCUUGAGAGUGUAAUCUUAAGCGGGUGGUAAACUCCAUCCAAGGCUAAAUAAUUCCACGAGACCGAUAGCAAACAAGUACCGUGAGGGAAAGUUGCAAAGAACUCUGAAGAGAGGGUUCAAGAGAACGUGAAACCGCUCGGUGGUAACCGGGAGGGAGCCUCGAAGCGCUAACGAGGAUCUGGGGAAUUCAGCCGGUGACGCGCGCCCGCCUCGGCUCGGCCAGUUCCGGUACGUGCCUUCACGGGUGCGUGCCGGACGGACGGAUUCGCUUCGUUGCCUGGGGAAUCACGCCUUUCGGGGCGUCCCCAGGUUUGCGACGGACCGGGUCGGGUCUGACUAGAGCGGCGGUUGCGGCGUCCCGGUGCACUUUCCCCGCGGCCUCCAUUUUUUACGUACGCCGCCACCGGACGGGUUGCGGAAAGGUCGUCGCGCGGUUUAGCCGGCAGUCGACCGCCCCCCUCACGUCCUUCGGGUCGUGAUGGUUUGGGGGGGUCUAGCCGGUUCCGCCCGUCAUCGACGGGGCCUUCUUACCGCGUCCGUCCGCGUCCACCCCAUCUGUUCGACAUCGGCACGUCUUUGGAUGUGCGCGGCUGGCGUCUCGGGUCUCGUCGGCGGUUUUCUCCUGCUCCGGAACCUUGCGUUCGGGACGGGGCCGUCGGCGGACACGCAUGAGAGACGCGCGGGUCUGCCGUCCUCGAUGUCACGUGUGGGCGGCGAUAGUAGAUCGGCUUCCCUCCCGACCCGUCUUGAAACACGGACCAAGGAGUYUAACCUGUGCGCGAGUCGUGGGGCAAGGUUGCGAAGCCCUCUUUCCACGGCGCAGUGAAAGCGAGAGGAACGGUUUCCGUUCCGCAGCCCGCGCGAUCCCGGCCGAGCCCCCUUAAAAGGGCGGAGCUGGGCGCAGCGCGGACCCGUGCCAGUCGCUUCUUGCCGACGGCACGGAGUUGGAGCGUACACGUUGGGACCCGAAAGAUGGUGAUCUAUGCCAGGGCAGGGCGAAGCCAGAGGAAACUCUGGUGGAAGCCCGCCGCGAUUCUGACGUGCAAAUCGAUCGUCUGACCUUGGCAUAGGGGCGAAAGACUAAUCGAACUAUCUAGUAGCUGGUUCCCUCCGAAGUUUCCCUCAGGAUAGCUGGUGCGCGUACGAUGCAGUCGCAUCCAGUCGAGCGAAUGAUUAGAGGCCUUGGGAUCGAAACGAUCUCAACCUAUUCUCAAACUCACAACGGGUGCGUUGGCCGGUUUGCUUGAAUGAAACCCGGUUCCUAACGAUGCUGCGUACCCAGUGGGCCCGUUUUGGUAAGCAGAACUGGCGAUGCGGGAUGAACCGAACGUUCGGUUAGGGCACCGCAGCACGGACGCUCAUGGGAUCCCACGAAAGGUGUUGGUUGCUUUAGACAGCAGGACGGUGGCCAUGGAAGUUGGAAUCCGCCAAGGAGUGUGUAACAACUCACCUGCCGAAGCAACCAGCCCUGAAAAUGGAUGGCGCUCGAGCGUGUCGCCCAUACCGGACCGCCGGAUGCACGAUCAAUAUUAUUGAAACAGGCACCGGCGAGUAGGAGGGGCACGGCGGUACGCGGCGAAGGUGUCGGACGUGAGUCCGCCCGGAGCUGCCGCCGGUGCAGAUCUUGGUGGUAGUAGCAAAUACUCCAGUGGGACCCUGGAGGACUGACGUGGAGAAGGGUUCCAUGGGAACAGCCGUUGACCAUGGGUCAGUCGAUCCUAAGGGACGGGACAACUCCUGUUUGAAAAGCGACGGGCGCUGCAAAGGCGUGCCUCGAUCACCCGAAAGGGAAGCGGGUUAAUAUUCCCGCACCCGGACACGGCAGAUCUCGUUCACCGAUCUAUUCCUUCCGUUCGUUUGUGGCGUUCACGCGCUGCGCGUGCCUUGCCCCUUCCGUUCGUUCCUUCGCGGGUUCGUUUCGGUUUGGGAYCUCGGUGCGUCGUAUGCCGGGUUCUCACGCGGCGGGAGGAAAGGUGAACACGGGGCGGUGACGCUCUCGCUCUCGGAGACACCGGCGGCGGGCCCGGGAAGAGUUUUCUCUUCUUGUUAAGGGACGAGCUCCCUGGAACUGAAUCGUUCGGAGCAAGGGACUCGGUUUUUCCGCAAAGCACCGCGGCUCCAGCGGUGUCCGAGGUGCCGUCGCCGGUCCUUGAAAAUGCCGAGACGCGUUUUGCGAU
Molecule: ribosomal RNA, 2480 nt
Filed under: Hanseniella sp. JMM-2003
Lineage: Eukaryota; Metazoa; Arthropoda; Symphyla; Scutigerellidae
Description: eukaryotic LSU rRNA
Rfam family: Eukaryotic large subunit ribosomal RNA
Source: RNAcentral